RNAcentral lists this ribosomal RNA (253 nucleotides) under uncultured bacterium. RNAcentral's name for it is "partial 16S ribosomal RNA". It matches the Rfam family "Bacterial small subunit ribosomal RNA", at positions 524 to 776 of the family's 1533-position model. The record is from RNAcentral.
UACGAAGGGGGCUAGCGUUGCUCGGAAUCACUGGGCGUAAAGGGUGCGUAGGCGGGUUUUUAAGUCAGGGGUGAAAUCCUGGAGCUCAACUCCAGAACUGCCUUUGAUACUGAAGAUCUUGAGUCCGGGAGAGGUGAGUGGAACUGCGAGUGUAGAGGUGAAAUUCGUAGAUAUUAGGAAGAACACCGGUGGCGAAGGCGGCCCACUGGUCCGGUACUGACGCUGAGGUGCGAAAGCGUGGGGAGCAAACAGG